GAUGAACGCUGGCGGCGUGCCUAAUACAUGCAAGUCGAACGCUGAAGCUUGGUGCUUGCACCGAGCGGAUGAGUUGCGAACGGGUGAGUAACGCGUAGGUAACCUGCCUGGUAGCGGGGGAUAACUAUUGGAAACGAUAGCUAAUACCGCAUAACAGUAGAUAUUGCAUGAUAUCUGCUUGAAAGGUGCAAAUGCAUCACUACCAGAUGGACCUGCGUUGUAUUAGCUAGUUGGUGAGGUAACGGCUCACCAAGGCGACGAUACAUAGCCGACCUGAGAGGGUGAUCGGCCACACUGGGACUGAGACACGGCCCAGACUCCUACGGGAGGCAGCAGGAGGGAAUCUUCGGCAAUGGGGGGAACCCUGACCGAGCAACGCCGCGUGAGUGAAGAAGGUUUUCGGAUCGUAAAGCUCUGUUGUAAGAGAAGAACGAGUGUGAGAGUGGAAAGUUCACACUGUGACGGUAUCUUACCAGAAAGAGACGGCUAACUACGUG
Molecule: ribosomal RNA, 497 nt
Filed under: uncultured bacterium
Lineage: Bacteria
Description: partial 16S ribosomal RNA
Rfam family: Bacterial small subunit ribosomal RNA
Source: RNAcentral